Molecule: ribosomal RNA, 324 nt
Filed under: uncultured eukaryote
Lineage: Eukaryota
Description: partial 18S ribosomal RNA
Rfam family: Eukaryotic small subunit ribosomal RNA
Source: RNAcentral
CCCUUAGAUGUUCUGGGCUGCACGCGUGCUACAAUGGCGUUUCCAGCAAGUCUGCGAACCCGAGAGGGCCAGCGGAUCUUCGAAUUGGCGUCGUGAUCGGGACAGUCGAUUGCAAUUAUUUGACUCAAACGAGGAAUUCCUUGUAAUCGCGAUUCAUCAUAUCGCGCUGAAUACGUCCCUGCCCUUUGUACACACCGCCCGUCGCUCCUACCGAUUGAAUGAUCCGAUGAAUAUCAUGGAUUGAGGAUGCAAGUAGGUUCGCCUAUCUUCAUCUUCGAGAAGUGAAGUAAAUCUUAUCAUUUAGAGGAAGGAGAAGUCGUAACA